This 1506-nucleotide long non-coding RNA is filed under the name Triticum aestivum (bread wheat). Its description in RNAcentral is "long non-coding RNA (TAES_LNC019677)". The record is from RNAcentral. Lineage: Eukaryota; Viridiplantae; Streptophyta; Magnoliopsida; Poales; Poaceae.
AUACAUUGACCAUGAAAUUCAUGUUCUACAAUGUGAAUGUAAAACUAUUUGGUAGUAGACAACUUGGCCCCCAUUCACCACUUUGCAAUCAACAACUUGGCCUCAUUCUCCACCUUGCAAUCAACAACUUAGCCCCCAUUCUCCACCUUGCAAUCAACAACUUGACCCUCAUUCUCCACCUUGCAAUCAACAACUUAGACCCCAUUCUCCACCUUGCAGUUAACAACUUAGCCAUGGACCAUUCAAUUAUCUGGGCCAUCUACAGCAAUAAAAAAAGCUGACAUGAGUAACGUAUCAUUGGAGAAAGAAGAUAAAACAGGUUAAUAGAGCAACAAAAUUUAGAAGAGAAGCAACAUAUACAAGGUUGAAGGCCAUGAGAUAAAUAAUCUAGCUACAUGAUCAAUACUUGUGACAUUUUUGAGUGGUCAGAUCAGCUGAUCAUAUUUUUCUAUUGUAGCACCAACACACAUUGCUCAGAAUUCAUUUCCAAAGUUAACAACCUCAGUUUUAUAUCCUAGGUCAGUACUUACCAGUGUAAUAAACAUAUUUUCUCUCAACCGAGUUGGAUUGUUCUUAUAUAUUUUCCAGAAUUUGAAGGUGCUACUAAACAAUCACCAUAUCUACAUCACUGAAAGUCCAGAAUGUGAUGAGAAUACAGUUAAAUCAUGGUCUAUGAAGAGAUGAUGACUGAAGUGAUUUCACCUUUGGUUACUGUAAACAUGCACCUUGAUGUACAUGAAGUAGGCCUAUUAUAAGAAUCAAGACUAAAAAAUAUCUCACUAAUAACAAUAUACAAUGGUUUUGGCGCCAUUGUCAAAUUGAUGUUCAUCCAUGCUAAAUGGAAUUAUCUGUAACAAUGUACUUGUACAGGUUGUAUUGCAUAACCUCAAAAAUAUAGCAUACUUCCAUUGAAAUUAUUUUCUUCCAUAAACCACUUUGAAAAACGCCCAUAUCACUUGAGUACAUCAGCAUGUUUUGUAAUCAAACUCGAUGAGAUAUCUAGAGAUAUACACAGGUCAUACACAUCUUUGCACUGUUGGGACAUCCCAUACACAUAGUUUGAACUAUUUUCGUUAACAGAACAAAAUUUAAACAGUACUAACGUUCCUGCAAUACAUAUAUAUAGAGGAAGUCAACAGUAGCUCUACCUGUAUUCCUUCUUGAGCGUGGAUCCAAAUUAGAGAUACCAUAAAGAGGGUCUUGUCGGGGUUUUCUAUUUACUAAGCCGGCUGGGAGUUAUAUGAGAAUUAGAUAUGAACACUAUCAAUACGCGUAAAAGACAAGUGAACAUUAGACAUACCAGAGUGGUGUAUAACUUGUUCCUAAUAGGACACCAAAGUUAUUAUGGGGAGACAAAUUGUCCUGGAUUCUGCACAACUCCCACAAGAAGAAUUCAGGCAAGCUACCUAAUUCUUUGAACAGCACCCCAAAAUAUCACAUAAACCCAUUGUUAACUUUCAUGACAGGACAAUAUAAACGCAAUCAAACUACAAGUCUACAACACAU